RNAcentral lists this unclassified non-coding RNA (647 nucleotides) under uncultured Prochlorococcus sp. Its description in RNAcentral is "partial 16S-23S ribosomal RNA intergenic spacer; may also contain 16S ribosomal RNA and 23S ribosomal RNA". The stretch from base 305 to 377 matches the Rfam family "tRNA". Lineage: Bacteria; Bacillati; Cyanobacteriota; Cyanophyceae; Synechococcales; Prochlorococcaceae. The record is from RNAcentral.
UUGUGGAGGAGGACGCCGAAGGUGGGGCUAAUGACUGGGGUGAAGUCGUAACAAGGUAGCCGUACCGGAAGGUGCGGCUGGAUCACCUCCUAACAGGGAGACAACAAAAUGUUUAAAAUUAUUAUUUUGUCACCUUAGGUCGAUCGGUAUCUCACGUUCUUAAUUUAUUAAGAAUUUCAUUUCCUAAGUUUUUCUAGGUCACACCCAUUAUUUUUCCUGGGCCAUUAGCUCAGGUGGUUAGAGCGCACCCCUGAUAAGGGUGAGGUCCCUGGUUCAAGUCCAGGAUGGCCCAUAUCUCUAUGUUGGGGGUAUAGCUCAGUUGGUAGAGCGCCUGCUUUGCAAGCAGGAUGUCAGCGGUUCGAGUCCGCUUACCUCCACUGAUUACCACCUCUUCCAUAACCGGUAGAAAGGAAAUGUUUUGAGUUGUGAUCAUCAUUCUGAACGAAUCUAGCUUCCUAAUGAAAUUAUUAAGAUGCUGGACUCAUUGAAUUAUUUUCAUUGUUUUCAGAGAACCUUGACAACUGCAUAGAUUAUUUUUAAAGACAAUAAGCAUCUUUAAUGAUGCAGAUUUAUUAUUUGUGCGAAUGCAUUAAUAACAAUUCUAUUAAGCUGAUGCUUCAAUUUUGAAGUUAUUGGUCAAGCUACAA